RNAcentral lists this transfer RNA (72 nucleotides) under Bos taurus (domestic cattle). It matches the Rfam family "tRNA". From Rfam's summary of the family: Transfer RNA (tRNA) molecules are approximately 80 nucleotides in length. Their secondary structure includes four short double-helical elements and three loops (D, anti-codon, and T loops). The record is from Rfam by way of RNAcentral. RNAcentral also lists the same sequence under 4 other names. Lineage: Eukaryota; Metazoa; Chordata; Mammalia; Artiodactyla; Bovidae.
UCCCUGGUGGCUCAGAUGGUAAAGAAUCUGCCUGCAAUGCAGGAAACCCGGGUUCAAUCCCUGGAGUGGGAA